RNAcentral lists this long non-coding RNA (378 nucleotides) under Panax ginseng (ginseng). Its description in RNAcentral is "long non-coding RNA (PGIN_LNC005523)". The record is from RNAcentral. Lineage: Eukaryota; Viridiplantae; Streptophyta; Magnoliopsida; Apiales; Araliaceae.
GGUGUUAAAAAAACUAUUUUCUGGAGAAAUUUUCUUUCCUUUGAUUUCUUGUUUUCUCCUGUUUAAUUCUUUUUUAUACAAGUUUAAAUCCAUCACAUACAUACAUAAAUAUGUCCUCUAUAUAUAACUUCAUAAAACUUACAUCUAACCAUAAAAAUCAAAGGAUUGGAGAAAUAUUUAGUAUUUUUCCUUUCUCGGUUUCAUUUCUUCUUCUUCAUCCUCUUCUCUUUCUCCUCUCCUUUGUUUUCUGAUUUUGCUGAGAGUGAAUGGGGUGGGUGGAAACAUAAAUGUUUCUUUUCUCUUUCUGUUUCCUUUCUUUCUUUUUUCUUUCUUUAUUUUUUCCUCAUUCUUUUUUCUUUCUUUGUCCCCUUAUCCCCA